GCUUGUCUCAAAGAUUAAGCCAUGCAUGUGAUCAGUGCAGUCCUUGUACGACGAAACUGCGAAUGGCUCAUUAAAACAGUUAUCGUUCAUUUGGUAAUCAUCUACUACAAGGAUAACUGUAGUAAUUCUAGAGCUAAUACUUGCGUUUUCCCGACUUCUCGGAAGGGAUUGCAUUUAUUAGAUACAAACCAAUCGGUGGUUUACCACUGCUAUAUGGUGAUUCAUAAUAACCGAACGAAUCGUAUGGCAUCAGCUGGCGAUGAAUCAUUCAAGUUUCUGACCUAUCAGCUUCCGACGGUAGGGUAUUGGCCUACCGUGGCAAUGACGGGUAACGGAGAAUUAGGGUUCGAUUCCGGAGAGGGAGCCUGAGAAACGGCUACCACAUCCAAGGAAGGCAGCAGG
RNAcentral lists this ribosomal RNA (402 nucleotides) under uncultured Perkinsidae. RNAcentral describes it as "partial small subunit ribosomal RNA". It matches the Rfam family "Eukaryotic small subunit ribosomal RNA", at positions 30 to 432 of the family's 1831-position model. The record is from RNAcentral. Lineage: Eukaryota; Perkinsozoa; Perkinsida; Perkinsidae.